This 423-nucleotide ribosomal RNA is filed under the name Triticum aestivum (bread wheat). RNAcentral describes it as "partial small subunit ribosomal RNA". The record is from RNAcentral. Lineage: Eukaryota; Viridiplantae; Streptophyta; Magnoliopsida; Poales; Poaceae.
AUGCAGUGCGAGGGCUGCGUGCACUGCCUCGACGACGAGCCCGGCGUGCACCGGGUGUGGAUGCCCCACCGGGAGGCGCCGGGUCUGGCCAUGUCGCACACGUUCGGCGACUACUGCAUUAAGGACUACGACGUCAUCUCGGCGCCGGAGGUGACGCAGAGGAGGAUCACCGCGCGGGACCAAUUCGUCAUCCUGGCCACCGACGGGGGGUUGUUCAGAAAGCCUCCACGCCCUCGCCACGGAGCGGAUCGGACGGAGCGACCUUCUGACCACUCUGUAGAUUAUAGUGGCAUGCCACUCCGCUCUGGAGCGGAGCUGUGGAGUGGGAGUGAGUCCGAACACACCUUUAGUAUUACAUGGAGUAGUAAUUGCUGGGACCAGAUCCAUGCACCAUCAUCUGAAACCCAUGUAUUCAUGAGGUAA